UUUUUGUUGAGUUUUUUUUUUGUGAAUGUAAUUGUUUUUCGACGCUCGUUAAGUAUUUGUAGUCAGUCACAUUAUGGCAAAAGAAAUGUUUUCAUUUUAUUUUAAUUCAAAAGAGAAAUCUUUAAGAUAUUAAAGUAACGAAAAUAGACAAGAAACGUUCCUAGUAUAAAGGCAUACAUUUUAAAUGAAUGAGGGUAGUUUUGAAUAGCGGAAAAGGAGACUAAAUUGGUCGCGUGCAACGGACGUAACUGGACCAUUUCCAUACAUUUUUAACGCAAUGCAUUUAUUUUCGAAUAAGAUAUUUGAUUUAAAAGUGACUCGGAGGUAUAAUUUAGCUGGAAUAUAUCUACUUAAGAUUUAUUAGAAACUAAUCUCCU
RNAcentral lists this unclassified non-coding RNA (377 nucleotides) under Melitaea cinxia (Glanville fritillary). RNAcentral's name for it is "misc RNA ENSMCXG00005017737.1". Lineage: Eukaryota; Metazoa; Arthropoda; Insecta; Lepidoptera; Nymphalidae. The record is from RNAcentral.